UCUUCCGCUGAUUACAGCUACACAAAAUACUUAUCUGCUUUCGAAAGACCUAUAACCAAUAAUAUCGGUCUUACAAUUAGCACAAUUAUUCAUAACACGUAACACUGUAGUUCACAGUCAAACUUCUCCUAGGCACAUUACCACAUAGCCACAUCAGUGUUUAUAACCUAUAUAAACACAUAACAAGUCUAACUAUAUCAGUCUGGUUGGACUUCGGUCCAUUCUCGGUGUUCUGGUCACCCUAUCCGACAAUUAACACAUUGAUUGUCCAUUAAACUUGGUCUCUAAGCUUCAAUAUUAAUUUAGAUAAGUCAAUUAUCAAUUAUAAUAUUUUUCGGAAGCUUUUAAUAAUUAUCAAGCAAUUAUUAUAAUUUAUAAUAAUUUUUCAAACAUCGGAAUCAUUUUUAAAUGAUUUAAUUAUCAAAUAAUCUUAUCAUUAUUAAUAUUUAAUAAUAUUAAAAUAUUAAUAACAUACUUGUCAAAAUAUUAAAGUUAUUAUCAAUAACUUAAAAUAUUUUUAAAUCAACAAUAUUCCACUUAAAUGAUUUUUAAAGUAAUUAAAAUCAUUUUUAAAUCACCACCAUUAAUAUAUAAAUAUUAAUGAAAUUAUCAUCUAAAUAUUAAAAGUCAUUAAUUAUAACUUAAAAUAUUUUUAAACUAUUUUUCUCAUUGUUAAAUGAUUUUUAAAUCAAUAAAAUCAUUUUUAAUUCAUUUAUUUAAUAUCAUAAUUAAAUAAAUCAAAUAUCAUUAAUAUUAAUUUAUUAAUGAAAAUUCUCCAAAAAUAUUGAAAAUUAUAUUUUAUAAUUUAAAAUAUUUUCUAACACUUUAUUCUCAAUUAAAAUGAUUUUUAAAUCAUUUAAAUCAUUUUUAUCUUAUUUAUUUAAUUUAAUAAUCAAAUAAAUCUAAUAUCAUUAAUAUUAAAUUAUUAAUGAAAAUUCUCCAAAAAUAUUAAAAGUUACAUUUUAUAACUCAAAAUAUUUUUAAAUACAUUUUUCUUAUUUAAAAUGAUUUUUCAUAAUAUUAAAUCAUUUUUCUCUAAUUUAUUUAAUACACUAAUUAAAUAAAUUAAAUACCUUUAAUAUUUAAAUAAUUAUAAAUAUUAAAGAAAAAUAUUCCAAUUGGUCAGAAAUUAUUUUUCAUAAUUUAAAAUAAUUUUUAAAACCAUUUUUGGUAAUUUUUAGAAUUUAUUUCUAAUUUUUAUUAAUUUCCGGAAUAUUCAGAAAAUAAAAUAAAUUAAAACCGUCGCUAAUAGCCUAUAGCGACACAAAGCGUCGCUGUUGGUGUUCUUGAGCUCAAGAACACUGACAGCCGGCAGCUUCAAGGUGCUACUUUGACUGCCUUUAAUUCUCAGACAAAAUGGUUUCUGGACUUGUUUAAAGUUUGAUCGUGUAGCCAAAAUGUAACACUACAACAUGCAACUCACACUUAGAUCAAACAACAACACAACAAGAUGAUCUGGGCUGUUAAACAUCUUGUCAGACGGUUUCUGGGUUUUCCAGAAACCCAGACAGUGCGAGUAGGCACUUUCGUGCUCAAUUAUCUAUGAGUUCUGGUAAUUAUUUAUGCUAGUUUAUGGUUUAAAUCCCUGGUCCAUGUGUCAAGGAACAAUACCAUACCAACAAAUCAGCUAAAACAUAUUAACCUCGUCAGAUCCAGCUCGGUCAAACCCUGACAGAAUCCUUGUUCAUACCGAUUCUGGGUUUCCCAGAAACAUAAAAUCAGUUCGGGUGGUCUAGUUUGACCAUCUAUAAAAUCCAAUACAUUUGAUGUUUAUGGAAUAUAAAGGCAGGUUCUUGGACUCGAUAUUACAGUCUACAAUAUGCAUACAACAACAUCAACAAACAACAAUCAACCGGACAGAUAGGGACCUUCAAAGAUCUUGUCAGGUUCGGUUUUUCACUUUCUGGGUAACCCAGAUUUUUACUCGGUCAAGCCCGGUCAACGGGUUUUGACCGAUUAUAUCUUCUGAUCUAUAAUAGAUCUGGGUCUGAUUCUUUUUGCAACUUAAAGAACACAUAUCAGGCUACAUGUUACAAGUUUUAAACAUCGAAAACACUUAACACACACGGAUCUAUAAGAUCUGACAUUUGACUGAAAAACACAAUUUUCCAGAUUUCCAGAUUUUGAAAAACUCUAAAUUCGUGAACUUUGAUGUUAUGGGUUCAUGAUUUAUCAACCCAGAACUUCAAUUGACACCUUAUUACAUAUCUUUGAACAAUCAAUUACAACAUUUAACAAGGAAUUGAAGGAUUUCAAAAUUUAGGGUUUUGUACCUUUUAUGCUUGAUUUUCAAUUCUGACUUUUGAUUUCUGAUCUUGGGUGAUCUAAGGCUGUAUAGAUGACUGAUCUACUAUAAUAUUUCGGAGCUUUGAGAUAGAGAGAGAGAUGGUGAGAGCUAGAGUAAAAAUUAGCAACUUUUGGCCACUUUUCUCUCUCUAAAUCUUAUAUAUAAUGCUAAGUUGCUAGAUCUGAUC
RNAcentral lists this long non-coding RNA (2474 nucleotides) under Panax ginseng (ginseng). RNAcentral describes it as "long non-coding RNA (PGIN_LNC012000)". Lineage: Eukaryota; Viridiplantae; Streptophyta; Magnoliopsida; Apiales; Araliaceae. The record is from RNAcentral.